RNAcentral lists this transfer RNA (91 nucleotides) under Nitrospira bacterium SG8_35_4. Its description in RNAcentral is "tRNA-Ser". It matches the Rfam family "tRNA". From Rfam's summary of the family: Transfer RNA (tRNA) molecules are approximately 80 nucleotides in length. Lineage: Bacteria; Pseudomonadati; Nitrospirota; Nitrospiria. The record is from RNAcentral. RNAcentral also lists the same sequence under 1 other name.
GGAGAGGUGUCCGAGCGGCUGAAGGAGCACGACUGGAAAUCGUGUAGACGUUCAUAGCGUCUCGAGGGUUCAAAUCCCUCCCUCUCCGCCA